UAAGGAAUAUUGGACAAUGGAGGCAACUCUGAUCCAGCCAUGCCGCGUGAAGGAAUAAGGCCCUAUGGGUUGUAAACUUCUUUUAGACGGGACAAAACCCCUUUACGUGUAAAGGGUUGAUGGUACUGUCAGAAUAAGCAUCGGCUAACUUCGUGCCAGCAGCCGCGGUAAUACGAAGGAUGCAAGCGUUAUCCGGAAUUAUUGGGUUUAAAGGGUGCGUAGGCGGACUAAUAAGUCAGUGGUGAAAGCCUGCAGCUUAACUGCAGAAUUGCCAUUGAUACUGUUAGUCUUGAGUACAGGUGAGGUAGGCGGAAUGUGUCAUGUAGCGGUGAAAUGCUUAGAUAUGACACAGAACACCGAUUGCGAAGACAGCUUGCUAAGCUGUAACUGACGCUGAGGCACGAAAGCGUGGGGAGCAAACA
Molecule: ribosomal RNA, 422 nt
Filed under: uncultured bacterium
Lineage: Bacteria
Description: bacterial SSU rRNA
Rfam family: Bacterial small subunit ribosomal RNA
Source: RNAcentral